RNAcentral lists this ribosomal RNA (497 nucleotides) under uncultured bacterium. RNAcentral's name for it is "partial 16S ribosomal RNA". It matches the Rfam family "Bacterial small subunit ribosomal RNA", at positions 28 to 507 of the family's 1533-position model. The record is from RNAcentral.
GAUGAACGCUGGCGGCGUGCCUAAUACAUGCAAGUCGAGCGAACAGACGAGGAGCUUGCUCCUCUCACGUUAGCGGCGGACGGGUGAAUAACGCGUGGAUACCCUCCCUAUAAGACUGGUAUAACUUCGGGAAACCGGCGCUAAUCCCGGAUAAUAUAUUGAACCGCGUGGUUCAAUAGUGAAAGUCGGUUUUGCUGUCACUUAUCGCGGGAUCCGCGCCGCAUUAGCUAGUUGGUAAGGUCAAGGCUUUCCAAGGCAACGAUGCGUAGCCGACCUGAGAGGGUGAUAGGCCACACGGGAACUGAGACACGGUCCAGAGUCCUACGGGAGGCAGCAGUAGGGAAUCGGACGCAGUGGGCGAAAGCAUGACGGAGCAACGGGGAGCGAGUGAUGGAGGUGCUGCGUGCGUAAAACUCUGUUAUGAGGGAAGAACAAAUGUGUAAGUAACCAUGCACGGAGUGACGGUAAUUAAUAAGAAAGCAACGGCUAACUACGUG